AGGAAGUGAGCGGAUGCUGGGCGGGGCACUCUUCCACGCCUUGUAGACCAUGUCUGGCAUCACCCUGUUCGAAGGAAUAAAUUCAAAUACCUGAUUGACCAUCCCGUCUCCCUCACGGGAGCUGGAAGGGAUAUUUCUUUUCUGUAUGAUGUUACAUAUGCCAAGGGACAGACUAGGGAGAAGGCAGUUUGUCCCCCACAUUUGUCCCGUUCAUUACAGUCACAUGAUGGUGUCAUUGUGCCCCAUAAGCCAAAGACACUAAGAGAUACGUUGAUUCCUGAAGAAUUUCAUAUUGUGUCAAGUACAGGAGUUUCAGGUUUGGAGUGUUAUGAUGACAAAUACACUACUCUCCUCACAGAUAGUGCAAACAGGCUAUUGCUCUUCCCAUCCAUGAAACCUAAUAAAAGAGUAGAAGUGGCCCAGCUGAAUGAUGUGAUGGAUACUAUGCUAGAGAGGGCUGGUGUGGAAAAUCAGGAAUAUACAGGACCAACUAAGAUGCACAAACUACUACAUAUAUUGAAGAAGGAACAGACCAUUUACAACGUGAUAUUUCAUGAACUUAUUCGACAAGUCAGUGUGGACUGUGCAGACAGAGGAGAACUUCUGUCUAAAGUCAGAGAGAGGUAUGUGCAAAUGCUUGACCAGAUUGCCCGGCAGAUGAUUGAUUUCUACAAAGACUUGGUAACUCAGCGAGUGAUGGACCAGCGCAUUUUAGAAGAAUUGUAUAAUUUCAAGCAUGUUAUUGAAGAACUGACCAGGGAACUGUGUCUAGUUCGGGCACAUGAUGUGAAAUUAACAAAGGAAACAGAAAAAGCCCACAAGGAUUUGGCACAAGCUCUUUUAGAUGCGGAAAAGAAUGCCAAAAUGGUAGAAGAAUAUCAUGACUUAUAUACAUUACAAAGAGAAAGGAUGGAGAAUGAUAUGAAGCAGUUAGUGGCAGAAAGAGAUAUCUGGAGCUCAGCCACAUAUGAAUUGGCCCUGAAGGUAAUUGAAAGAAAUAGAGUCAUAUUGGCUAGAAGACUUUACCUUAAUGAAAAAGGCUGGAAUAAAUACACUAAGCAUUUCAUCCUACUGCUGUCAAACAAGGACACUGAAGACCUUGCACUGCUGCAGAGGUUGACACAAAAAUGGAGAAACUUAGUGAAUAAAUUUAAACAAGAGGUAGAACAAAUGGAAGAGUCUACAAGUGAGACACUGAAAAUUGUUAAGGAUGGGCUUAUCAAAUGGCAGGAGUUCUUCAAUGAAAAAGACAAUUUAUCCCCUAAUAAGGGAAAUAUAUUUGAUUCAGUUCUUUUAGACUUCAAACAGUGGCAGAAGAUCCUGAAUGAGAAAAAAGAAGAGUUUACUGGGGAUGUUCUACUGUCAAAAUACGAUACUCUCAAGAUUAUUAAACAUUUACAGGAAAACUGGGCAGAUAUUGGGCUUGGGAUAUUUAAUCGCCAUAAAAGUUUGGAGGGGGAGAUGCCAUCAGAGCGACAGUACAUGGAGGAAAUUAUCAAAAACAUACAAAAACUCUACAAAGAAUAUGAAAUAAGAAUAAAUGGGGACAAUGAGACAGGAUCUCACUAUGUUGCACAGGCUGGUCUCAAACUUUUGGGUUCAAGUGAUCAUCCCACUUCAGCCCCCCAAAGUGCUGGAAUUAGAGGCAUAAUCCACCGCACCUGGCCUUGGGUUAAUUUUUAUAUAGUGUGUGAGGUUACUCCAAAAUUCUUCCAAGUUUGAUUAGUUCUCUUGACUUCUGUUCUUUCAAGUUGGAAAACCUGGAGUUUCCUGAUACGCCUCUUGAAGAAUGGCAGGAAAUAGAUGAAAAAAUUAAUGAAAUGAAAUCACAGUUGGAUAUAUUGUUAAACCUUACUGGUAUUGUUCCACAGCACAUAGAUGUGGAUUCUGUUUCGUAAGUUCCCAUAGCUUUCUUUUGUUUUGAGAGAAUUUUCCCAAAGGUUUAUUGCAAUACAAUUCAUAUAUAAUUC
This 1970-nucleotide small RNA is filed under the name Pongo abelii (Sumatran orangutan). Its description in RNAcentral is "processed transcript". The record is from RNAcentral. Lineage: Eukaryota; Metazoa; Chordata; Mammalia; Primates; Hominidae.